RNAcentral lists this long non-coding RNA (671 nucleotides) under Mytilus galloprovincialis (Mediterranean mussel). The record is from RNAcentral. Lineage: Eukaryota; Metazoa; Mollusca; Bivalvia; Mytilida; Mytilidae.
UCGUUCUUAUGUUUUACUGUUACACCACUGUCCAAGGUUAGGGGAGGUUUGGGAUCCCGUUUGUAUGUUAAACCUGCCACAUUUUCUAUGUAUGUGCCUGUCCCAAGUCAGGAGCCUGAUAAUUUAGUGGUUACCGUUUGCUUAUCAUAACUGUUACAUAUUUGUUUUUGGUUUCAUUUGUUUUGUGCAUAGAUUAGGCUGUUGGUUAUCUCGUUUGAAUCGUUUUAAAUUGUUAUUUCGGGGCCUUUUAUAACUGACAAUGCGGUUUUGCUCAUUGUUGAAGUCGUACGGUGACCUAUACAUGUAGUUGUUAAUUUCUGUGUCAUUUUGGUCUUCUGUAGAGAUUUGUCCCAUUGUCAACCAUACCACAUCUUCUUAUUUAUAAUAAAUGCAUAAUGCAAUAAAAUGACUAAAACCACUUAACUCCUAUCAUUGUCCGUAUUGCCCAAAGAUAGAUAUGUUAUUAUUCUAUUUUUUCAUGAUAUAUUCAUCUUUUGUCUUAGAUUAAAAAUAAAACUGUAAAAGAACCCAAAGUCAUCGCCCCCUAUCCUCUCAGCCCCAGUUAAAAAAAUAUCAAUAUGUAGAUCAAUUUAACAAUCACACUGUACAGUAUGCACCAAUUUACUCAAUGUUCGAAAUAAUAUGAAUGGUACUACAUUUUACUGCAUAAC